AUGGGUUUUUGGUUCUUCAGCUGCCUGGCCCUUUGUCUCCUGGUGGUAGGUCCAGUGGACCCUAGAAUUACCCAGACACCAAAACAUCUGGUGGCAGUCACAGGGAAUGAAAGAACCCUGAAAUGUAAACAGCAUCUAGGUCACAAUGCUAUGUACUGGUAUAGACAAAGCGCUAAAAGGUCCCUAGAGCUCAUGUUUUCCUAUAACUAUCAAGCACUUGUUGAAAACCAGACUAUCCAAAGUCGCUUCCAACCUCACAGUCCAGAGAAAUCCGACUUAGAUCUUCAGAUCUUCGCCCUGGAACCUGACGACUCGGCCACAUAUUUCUGCGCCAGCAGCCAAGACACAGCCCUGCAGAACUAA
Non-coding RNA from Chionomys nivalis (European snow vole), 363 nucleotides. The record is from the annotation of a RefSeq genome assembly. NCBI's taxonomy places the organism in Eukaryota, Metazoa, Chordata, Mammalia, Rodentia, Cricetidae.